This 253-nucleotide ribosomal RNA is filed under the name uncultured bacterium. RNAcentral's name for it is "partial 16S ribosomal RNA". It matches the Rfam family "Bacterial small subunit ribosomal RNA", at positions 524 to 776 of the family's 1533-position model. The record is from RNAcentral.
UACGUAGGGAGCAAGCGUUGUCCGGAAUCAUUGGGCGUAAAGCGCAUGCAGGCGGUCCUGUAAGUUUGGAGUGACAGUUUCCGGCUCAACCGGGAAAGUGCUUUGAAAACUGCAGGACUUGAGGGCUUCAGAGGGACACGGAAUUCCGGGUGGAGUGGUGAAAUGCGUAGAUAUCCGGAGGAACACCGAAGGCGAAGGCAGUGUCCUGGGGAGCACCUGACGCUCAGAUGCGAAAGCCAGGGGAGCGAACGGG